UAAAUGGUGAACUUUCGGUGUGCUUGGUGGUGAGUCUCAGUGGUGUGCGCCUUCCUGAUCAGGAGGUUUAUUCCGAGUUAGCUCUUCCACUUAGGCGCUAUGCCGAUGGCUCCUGAACCUGUCAGUAGUUUGUUUCUUGGAGAGAACUAGUGAGUUUGUGGACGAUGUAUGAGCUUCACUAGGGCUUUCUAGCUUUCUUGUUAGCUUGGUGGAACUUCACUGGAGGUUGUGUUCUCGGUCAGUCUGGCGGCUCUAUAUGAGCUUUUGGUUAAAAGGGUGUACACGGUCCUGGGGUGGUUGGUUGGAGGCAGCAAUCUUCAAUUGUCCUUUCCAAACGACGACAUCGCUGGUUCAGUGCCUUCCUCGUGCUGCUGGUGCGAUUCUUCUUGGGUUAGUAAGCGGGUUGGAGAUUGUGAUUCUUUGUGCAGGUUGUGGCUUUUGGGUCUUCGGAAGCUGUAAGAGCCGUGUGUUUCAAAGUUUGAGGGUGCCUUUCUCUCCGGUAGCUCGCGGCAACUGAUACUCACUUCGUUCAUGCCUGUUUCCUCUGGUCCGUCAUUGUUCCGAUGAUGUCUUGUGCAAAGUCUCAGUCUUUGUUUCUUUCCUGUUGAUCUUUCUCGCUGUUUGGUG
RNAcentral lists this long non-coding RNA (627 nucleotides) under Brassica napus (rape). RNAcentral's name for it is "long non-coding RNA (BNAP_LNC025452)". The record is from RNAcentral. Lineage: Eukaryota; Viridiplantae; Streptophyta; Magnoliopsida; Brassicales; Brassicaceae.